Molecule: ribosomal RNA, 1639 nt
Filed under: Salmonella enterica
Lineage: Bacteria; Pseudomonadati; Pseudomonadota; Gammaproteobacteria; Enterobacterales; Enterobacteriaceae
Description: partial 23S ribosomal RNA
Rfam family: Bacterial large subunit ribosomal RNA
Source: RNAcentral
UAAAGCGGGUGAAAAGCCCGCUCGCCGGAAGACCAAGGGUUCCUGUCCAACGUUAAUCGGGGCAGGGUGAGUCGACCCCUAAGGCGAGGCCGAAAGGCGUAGUCGAUGGGAAACGGGUUAAUAUUCCCGUACUUGGUGUUACUGCGAAGGGGGGACGGAGAAGGCUAUGUUGGCCGGGCGACGGUUGUCCCGGUUUAAGCGUGCAGGUGUGUGUUCCAGGUAAAUCCGGUUCACUUUAACACUGAGGCGUGACGACGAGGCACCACGGUGCUGAAGCAACAAAUGCCCUGCUUCCAGGAAAAGCCUCUAAGCCUCAGGUAACAUCAAAUCGUACCCCAAACCGACACAGGUGGUCAGGUAGAGAAUACCAAGGCGCUUGAGAGAACUCGGGUGAAGGAACUAGGCAAAAUGGUGCCGUAACUUCGGGAGAAGGCACGCUGACACGUAGGUGAAGUGGUUUACCCAUGGAGCUGAAGUCAGUCGAAGAUACCAGCUGGCUGCAACUGUUUAUUAAAAACACAGCACUGUGCAAACACGAAAGUGGACGUAUACGGUGUGACGCCUGCCCGGUGCCGGAAGGUUAAUUGAUGGGGUCAGCGCAAGCGAAGCUCCUGAUCGAAGCCCCGGUAAACGGCGGCCGUAACUAUAACGGUCCUAAGGUAGCGAAAUUCCUUGUCGGGUAAGUUCCGACCUGCACGAAUGGCGUAAUGAUGGCCAGGCUGUCUCCACCCGGGACUCAGUGAAAUUGAACUCGCUGUGAAGAUGCAGUGUACCCGCGGCAAGACGGAAAGACCCCGUGAACCUUUACUAUAGCUUGACACUGAACACUGGUCCUUGAUGUGCAGGAUAGGUGGGAGGCUUUGAAGUGUGGACGCCAGUCUGCAUGGAGCCAUCCUUGAAAUACCACCCUUUAAUGGCUGGUGUUCUAACGUGGGCCCCUGACCGGGGUUGCGGACAGUGUCUGGUGGGUAGUUUGACUGGGGCGGUCUCCUCCUAAAGAGUAACGGAGGAGCACGAAGGUUGGCUAAUCCUGGUCGGACAUCAGGAGGUUAGUGCAAUGGCAUAAGCCAGCUUGACUGCGAGCGUGACGGCGCGAGCAGGUGCGAAAGCAGGUCAUAGUGAUCCGGUGGUUCUGAAUGGAAGGGCCAUCGCUCAACGGAUAAAAGGUACUCCGGGGAUAACAGGCUGAUACCGCCCAAGAGUUCAUAUCGACGGCGGUGUUUGGCACCUCGAUGUCGGCUCAUCACAUCCUGGGGCUGAAGUAGGUCCCAAGGGUAUGGCUGUUCGCCAUUUAAAGUGGUACGCGAGCUGGGUUUAGAACGUCGUGAGACAGUUCGGUCCCUAUCUGCCGUGGGCGCUGGAAGAUUGAGGGGGGCUGCUCCUAGUACGAGAGGACCGGAGUGGACGCAUCACUGGUGUUCGGGUUGUCAUGCCAAUGGCACUGCCCGGUAGCUACAUGCGGAAGAGAUAAGUGCUGAAAGCAUCUAAGCACGAAACUUGCCCCGAGAUGAAUCUUCCCUGAGCCUUUAAGGCUCCUGAAGGAACGUUGAAGACGACGACGUUGAUAGGCCGGGUGUGUAAGCGCAGCGAUGCGUUGAGCUAACCGGUACUAAUGAACCGUGAGGCUUAACCUUACAAC